AGUAAAGUCAGCUAAAAAAGCUAUUGGGCCCAUACCCCAAAAAUGCUGGUGCAACUCCUUCCUUUACUA
This 69-nucleotide transfer RNA is filed under the name Hoplocercus spinosus. RNAcentral describes it as "tRNA-Met". It matches the Rfam family "tRNA". Rfam says of the family: Transfer RNA (tRNA) molecules are approximately 80 nucleotides in length. Their secondary structure includes four short double-helical elements and three loops (D, anti-codon, and T loops). The record is from RNAcentral. Lineage: Eukaryota; Metazoa; Chordata; Lepidosauria; Squamata; Hoplocercidae.